This is a long non-coding RNA of Haliotis rubra (blacklip abalone), 1408 nucleotides long. RefSeq lists it as uncharacterized. NCBI's taxonomy places the organism in Eukaryota, Metazoa, Mollusca, Gastropoda, Lepetellida, Haliotidae. The record is from RefSeq and is a predicted model, not a curated record. The transcript has 2 exons.
AUCGGCAAUACUUCAGCCACAUCGUGACGAGAACAUAUUUGACAUUGAAAUGUAUUGUCAGAAAUAAGUUGGAUUAGUGGACUUUGCAUUGUCAGUAAUACGUUGAUUUACUGCACAUGGUAUUGCCUUUAAUAAGUUGAUUUACUGGACAUGUUAUUGUCUGUAAUACGUUGAUUUACUGGACAUGGUAUUGUCUUUAAUAAGUUGAUUUACUGGACAUGGUAUUGUCUUUAAUAAGUUGAUUUACUGGACAUGGUAUUGUCUUUAAUAAGUUGAUUUACUGGACAUGGUAUUGUCUUUAAUAAGUUGAUUUACUGGACAUGGUAUUGUCUCUUUAGAGACUACUAUUGUAACAGUUUUUUGUUUCAGAGAUAUGUUAUUGUAGCAGUAUUUUGUUACAGAGGUACAUUAUUGUAGCAGUAUUUUGUUACAGAGAUACAUUAUUGUAGCUGUAUUUUGUUACAUAGAUACAUUAUUAUAGCAGUAUUUCGUUACAAAGAUACAUUAUUGUACAUAGCAGUAUUUCGUUGAAGAGAUACAUUAUUAUAGCAGUAUUUUGUUACAUAGAUACAUUAUUGUAGCAGUAUUCUGUUUCAGAGAUACAUUAUUGUACAUAGCAGUAUUUCGUUGAAGAGAUACAUUAUUAUAGCAGUAUUUCGUUACAAAGAUACAUUAUUGUACAUAGCAGUAUUUCGUUGAAGAGAUACAUUAUUAUAGCAGUAUUUCGUUACAAAGAUACAUUAUUGUACAUAGCAGUAUUUUGUUACAGAGAUACAUUAUUGUAGCAGUAUUUUGUUACAUAGAUACAUUAUUGUACAUAGCAGUAUUUCGUUGAAGAGAUACAUUAUUAUGGCAAUAUUUUGUGACAGAGAUACGUUAUUGUAGCAGUUCAUUUUGGCAGAAUCACAUUAUUGUACCAGUUUAUAAUUGCAUCCCUUUAUCGAUGAUGCCGUAUGUUCUAGCUGCGCAGUAGACAGUGGUACCCGCAUCCUCAGGACAACCAAUCACCACACAGACUUUCAGAUGAAGGUGUUCAAAUUCGCUGGGAACUACAACAUAGUGUACAUCACAUGUGACGUCAGAGUCAGUCCAGUCAUGGAUAACUCUCCUCCUGCCAGCAGACCUGCACAUCGUCCGGGAAGAGAAACAGUGAAAGAAACACAGGGCAGAACAGAGUUAGGUUUGGUCCUGUCGUAGUAGAGGACCUACCUGUCAGCUGAGACUGUUGUCAACGUGUGUAGUGGCUACAGGCCCUCGUGCCUUUGCGAGGAUUAAAAAUUAAAAAUAUAAAAAAAGUUCUUUAUUUUAAUGUUUAAUCCUCCCAAAGACACGAGGGUGUCGACCGUUAAACAAGGGAUUGCGUACACAACGUUUGCUAAUAAACAGAUCUAGUAUUGAGUAUGCCUGA